AUGUGCACAAACAAUUGGGAAAGAGUGCCGAUUGGCUACAGGUUCAAUCGAUAAUGUUGUAGCAAUUGCAACAAUUACAGAAGUCAAUGGUGAAAACAAUAGCCAGCUUAUCCAUGGUGUUCCAUUGGGCAAGGGAAACAAGCGUGUGUCAAUUGUCACUUCUCUAGUGGAUGAAGCUAAGCUUCCAUUUCCGAUCAAAGAUGAAAUAGUGACUGUUCGAGAUGCUAUCGGGACUUAUGUGGCCUGGCCUGAAAACCUUAUAAUUUUUCAAUGCGAGUCUAAGACGGCAGCAAAGAGUAAAGGAUUGAAGAAGAGAAAAAGGGCAGAUGAAGAUGAUGAUGAAGAGGAAGAUAUAGACACUGCAUCACUGCCACCAACUACUCCUGCAUCUCUUAUUGCGGUAUGCAAUUGGGCCAAAGAAAGAAUGAGAAAUGCAUAAAUUAAACAAUUAUCUGCGAGUUCGAUGAAAAGAUUUUCGGACAUCCAUCCAAAACUUUUAUCUGCAAACAUGAUAUUAAUAACUUUGUUACCAUGAAGGAAGUAUCGGGCAGCUGCAUAGGCAUCUAUAUU
This 570-nucleotide long non-coding RNA is filed under the name Rosa chinensis. Its description in RNAcentral is "sRNA RchiOBHm_Chr7g0238771". Lineage: Eukaryota; Viridiplantae; Streptophyta; Magnoliopsida; Rosales; Rosaceae. The record is from RNAcentral.